CCGCCCAGAGGUAAACGGGUGGAUCCGCAAAGUCGGUCCGCGGAAUUCAGCGCGGCGCGCGGUCCGGGGCUGCCGCUGUUCGGGAUCCUCUGGGAACCAGCAGCGGUGCCGAGCCGGACCCCGCCGCGUGCACUUUCCGCGGGCAGAGAGCCACAACCGGUUUGGUGGCGGUCACAAGCCCGGAGGGUUGUCGGUGGGGGCGCUCGCGUCCCUACCAGCCCCCCGCGGCGAGUCGCCGCCGGACCGAGGAACCGCCGCGCGCUUCGAGGCCACCCUCCCUUCCGGGUGAGUUCGACUGGGAGAGACUGGGCAACCGUGUCUCCCGACCGCUCACUCGCGACUGGCGCGGGGCUGGCCGGGCGAGCACUUGGGUUGGUGGCAAGUCUGUCGGCAUUCCACCCGACCCGUCUUGAAACACGGACCAAGGAGUCUAACAUGCGCGCGAGUCAUUGGGCGGUACGAAACCCAAAGGCGCAGUGAAAGCGAGGGCCUGUCAAAGGGCCCAGGUGGGAUCCAAUCGCUUCUUCGGCCCUUCG
Molecule: ribosomal RNA, 536 nt
Filed under: Hemiplecta humphreysiana
Lineage: Eukaryota; Metazoa; Mollusca; Gastropoda; Stylommatophora; Ariophantidae
Also listed under: 1 other name
Description: partial large subunit ribosomal RNA
Source: RNAcentral